RNAcentral lists this ribosomal RNA (115 nucleotides) under Myotis lucifugus (little brown bat). Lineage: Eukaryota; Metazoa; Chordata; Mammalia; Chiroptera; Vespertilionidae. The record is from RNAcentral.
GUCUAUGGCCAUUCCUUCCUGAAUGGGCCUGGUCUCAUCUGAUCUUGGAAACUAGGUAGGAUUGGCCUGGCUAAUACUUGAAUGGGAGAAAUACUUCAAGCAGAUGACAUAUAAU